Oncorhynchus tshawytscha (Chinook salmon) is the source of this 3798-nucleotide long non-coding RNA. NCBI's taxonomy places the organism in Eukaryota, Metazoa, Chordata, Actinopteri, Salmoniformes, Salmonidae. The record is from Ensembl.
CAUCGGUCAUUCCAGUAAUGGUGAGGCUGACACAUCGGACUCCAUUUCUUGUAAACCACUUUUAAUAACCCCCUCAUCUAUGAAUGAACAAAAAGGACAAAGUGAGACCCCAAAACCUCUCUUGGCUCUCAAAAGUAUUUGCAAGACCAAGUCCUCCUUGACACCACAAAAGCGAUUGCCAGCCAGGUUCUUGUCUUGUAUAAGACUGAGGUGAUGGAGAAGUUCUCAUAUUCUGUUGGAGAGUGUGAUUCUGAAGAGUCUCUGGAGGCCAUUCUAUUUGUGGAUGGCAUCAUGUCUGACUUGAAUGAUUUCACCAGUUCGUGUUCCCCCUCACCAUCUGAGUUGUUAGACAGUGAACAAUGUCUCUCCCAUCUCACUUUUCCACUUGGUCUGCAGGACAGCACCACCAACAGUGAAUCUACCCUGAGUCUUCCAGUUAUAAAUAUGAAGAAACUCUCCAGUGUGUCUUUCCAGACAAAGGCUAGAAAGGCAGUGAGCGAAGCUCUGAGAUCUGUCAACCCCUUUACAAACAGCUUACUGGGAGACUCUGAAGCAUCUAAAUUGCUGGACACUUUUGUAACAGAUGUGGAGACUGUUGUUCAGUCCAUGCAGGCACAUGACUCUGAAAAUGUCAGAAUUUCAAAAGUGAGCACCCUUCAUGCUGCUCGUAUUAUAUAUCAUAGAUUUAGAGAAAUGCUGAGGCGUUUUCUCACUCCCUGCCAAGACUCUGUAAAGGUCAUCGAUGGUGUUACACCAAUACAUGAUGAGACUCUCAAACAGGCUCCUAGUGAAAGUUUAGAUUCUCAGGUGACUUGUAAUAGUGAUUCUCUUGAAAUCCAAGCAGACCUUCAAACCUGUACCAAGGAGGUCAUUAGUCAGAUCCUCACUGUGUAUCACUCUGAGGAAUCCAUGGAGGAAUGCCUCUCUAGCCUAAAAGGAGAUACAGAAGACCUGUCCAAGCUUUUGGAUGCCGUUGUUUCUCAGAUUGACGUCCUUGCCCCUUCCAAAUCAUAUUUAUCUGUUGAUGACUAUGCUGUCAAUACACAGGACAAUUUGCAUGGUGAGAUCAACAAUGAUGAGGAGGAGGCAUCCUCUAGAAGUCUUAAAUCCACAGCCUUUGUCAAACUAUGUACUGAGGAGUUUCAAACUAAAGCCUCACAUAUGGCUGGUGGGAUCCUUCAAUCAGGGUUGAUUGGCAUUGUAAAUACCAGCCUUGAUGGUAGAAGUGCAGACAUUUGUGCAGAGUCCAGUAAUGAUGGUGAUGAUAGAGAUGUCAAAAUCCUUCAGAAGAGUGGAACUCCACCUUUGUUCACCUCUUCUCUGCACACCAAUUCUGCAGCAUCCAACAUCGUCAUAAGCAUCACUAAAGACCUUAAUAGCUUCACCCAGAUGACUAAAAUGUCUGAUGCUUCAGUGUCUGGCCAGUUAGAGAGAUCCCUGUCAGCUUCAACCCUUCCUGUCAGUGUUCACAACGGGGCCAAUGUGAAAGGAAAGAUCAUUUGGCCAGGCACUGUUAACCUGUUCAACAAUGUGUUCACCAAGGUCAAGGAUUUUUUUGCCCAGCAACAACCGGUCCUCCUAGACAAUGUGGUUGAGGCCCCCAAACAUGCCGAAUCCAUAUGCAGAACAGCUACUUCUACACAAAUGACUUACAGUGAACAUGAAGGCAGCCAGACCAGCAUGGUAAAUUAUUCCAAAGCCUUAAUUAGUCAGACUCUGAUGACAAUCCAGAGGAGAGUGUCUAUGUCAGAGAGGAUGAGCACCUCAGAGAAAGGCCUCUUGACUCGUUCCAUCGUGGGCUCCAUGUUGGAGGAUGUUGACAUGGUGAGAACUGAUGGACACGAGAUACACCGGCCAUCCUCCUCAAAGUCCUCCCUGUCCAUCACCUCUGCCAUGACCAGAGGGUCCCAGAGUGAUUUUACAAAUUCUCUUCCAGGCACUCCAGUCCCCAAUGAGUGGCCUGUUGAAAUCUAUUGUCCUAUCAUUAGGAGUUCAGUCAUUGAUAUGAGUGACUCCUCAACUCAUUCACAAGGGUCAACAAAUUACACAAGGCAAACCAUCUCUGCCGUAGUUGACACUGUUAUGGAGGUCAUUCCAAGAGAAGAUACGGAACACAUAGCCACUGCAGAUGAUGUCACUUCUUUUACAAGAAGACUUGCGAGACUCAGCCCCAGGGACGGUGUUCAGAACUUCUCACAUGAGCUCACUGACAAAGUUUAUGAGCUCAUAAAAAGUCACAACACCCCCCAGGCUCUUUUUGUGCCAGCUGGCAAGAGCGUGUCUGACUCUAUUCUUUUGAAGCUGAAGACAGGAUUGAAUGCUUCUGAAGAAUCCAGGGAGUUUCCAUCUGACCUUGUAUACUCCUUUGCUACGGAGUCAAUAAAACGUCUGCUACAGCAGAUUGUCUUCUGGCUUCCUCCACCAUCACAAGGAUCCGAUUUCUGCCAAACUAUCAUCUCUGAUGAUUCUCUGCAGGAAACAAGUUGGCUUAUGCCGAGCUCUUCUGCCAUCUCCGUUAGUUCCUCACAGGUUUACUGGGACACAAAGAGCCUUUUCACCAAUAUAAUGGUCAAUUAGGUCAUGGAUACCUGUUCUGUGGCCUCCAAUUCAUCAGAAGAAUUAUCAGAGUUGAUGAACAUAAUCAAUGGGUUGUCCCCAACUGAUGCUGGAACACUUGACUCUGACAGACCGGCUCUCAUGAACACUAACCGUCAGUCUAGUUCCAAAUCAUUGCCUAGACCCUCUCUGUCUGGCAGCAGCACACACAACGGUGGAACUGUGGAUAUUCAAGUUUUAGGAGAGGUGGAAUCCAAGAUGGACAACAAAGAUCUGGAGAUGUCUAGUGUCUCUGUGCAUCCAUCAACUCCAUCAGCCAUGGACUCUGAUACACAUGCAUCAUUUGACUCCACUAGCAAUGACUACACCUCUUUGGUACUUUUACUGAUUGUUAGAUUGCUGUCAAUGAUCACCCCUUUCACAUUACUGGAAUCCUCUGACAUUGGUGAAACAUCAAGAGUUCUCACAAAGAGGAUUCUGUCUGAGUUCUGUGGCACCUCAGGCCUUGAACCAACUCAAGCCUACCCCCAGAAUCUGAAAAUCAAAAAGAUUUUCAAGGCUGUCUACACGGGGCUUCUUCAAGAAUUCAGGUCAGAGAAGAUGCUCCAGGUUGCAAUGAAGUCAACGGAUUAUGCAUUUGACGAUGCCCUGGUCAAAUCAUUAACUAGGGAACUACUAGCUAAAUGCAAUGAGGCUAGCUUUUCACCUCCCUCCAUGACCCAGUUGUCAUCACACAAUGUACUUGGCAGUGACGAGGUAGGUAAUUCUGGGCUUCCAACAACUGGUAGAAAGGAAAACAAGAGAGGAAGAUUCAGCACUCUCUGUGGACUCAACCCAAAGGUACAUAUGUCAUCAAAAUACAAAUUGUAAAGAAUUUUUUUAUUCAUAACAUACAGUAUGAUGGUAAACACUGAUACCCUUUGUGUGCAAUUUCUCCUACUGUAUAAAUGACUGUUUGUUACCCAGUGUACAAAGAAGGUCAACAAGAAGAACCACUGCACUCCAACACCUUCCCAGAACCAGACCCCUGCCGUCAGUGAAACAGCAAUUGUCAAUGAUCAACAAUCCUGCCGAACAGAGAGUGUAUGCUCCACCAAGAAGAAACCAAGGAAGCGUUCGCUCAUUUCCAGGAUGUUUUCAGCUAUAGGCAAAGCCUUGUCCAGUCCCUUUACUUCCUGCUAUAAAAAGAAGAGCACCUAAUCUAUAUUUCAAAAUAAAUAUUUGAAAUUAACAUAAUUGCAU